UAUCUUUAGAUGGAAAAAUAGUGGCGAAAUACCUUUCGCGCUGACUGAUAGCUGGCUGUUUCGUAAAUAUAUUUAAGUAUAGGUUUCAUCAAGUAGGCUGGGGGAAUAAAACCCCCAGCCUUUGAUGGUAGCUCAGUCCCUUCAGGCUAAGCUGAAGGGAACAACUAAAGGCUUAUUAAUAAAAUAAAUGGAAAGUGGGCUUAAAGGAGCUAUCUUUUUAGAGUGGGUUAAUCCUCAAUAUUUUUUAUUAGUGAUCGUAUUUUAUUCCUUUUGUUUGAACGGAACCUCUUCACGAAACUAAAAUGUGAGGGUGAUAAUGUAAAGAUGAGUAGCUAAAUAUGUGGGGUUUGUUAAUUCGGGAAAUUAGACGUAAAACAAAUAAUCUUGAUAAGCAAAGCUAAAGGAACUCGGCAAAAAUGAAAACCGCCUGUUUAACAAAAACAUGGCUCCUUGAUAACAUAAGGAGUCGUGCCUUCCCGGUGAGUUUAAACUUAAACGG
RNAcentral lists this ribosomal RNA (499 nucleotides) under Argopecten irradians (bay scallop). RNAcentral describes it as "partial 16S ribosomal RNA". Lineage: Eukaryota; Metazoa; Mollusca; Bivalvia; Pectinida; Pectinidae. The record is from RNAcentral.